This 465-nucleotide ribosomal RNA is filed under the name Vreelandella stevensii. RNAcentral's name for it is "partial 16S ribosomal RNA". It matches the Rfam family "Bacterial small subunit ribosomal RNA", at positions 338 to 795 of the family's 1533-position model. The record is from RNAcentral. Lineage: Bacteria; Pseudomonadati; Pseudomonadota; Gammaproteobacteria; Oceanospirillales; Halomonadaceae.
CCUACGGGCGGCAGCAGUGGGGAAUAUUGGACAAUGGGGGCAACCCUGAUCCAGCCAUGCCGCGUGUGUGAAGAAGGCCCUCGGGUUGUAAAGCACUUUCAGUGAGGAAGAACGCCUGGUGGUUAAUACCCAUCAGGAAAGACAUCACUCACAGAAGAAGCACCGGCUAACUCCGUGCCAGCAGCCGCGGUAAUACGGAGGGUGCGAGCGUUAAUCGGAAUUACUGGGCGUAAAGCGCGCGUAGGUGGCUUGAUAAGCCGGUUGUGAAAGCCCCGGGCUCAACCUGGGAACGGCAUCCGGAACUGUCAAGCUAGAGUGCAGGAGAGGAAGGUGGAAUUCCCGGUGUAGCGGUGAAAUGCGUAGAGAUCGGGAGGAAUACCAGUGGCGAAGGCGGCCUUCUGGACUGACACUGACACUGAGGUGCGAAAGCGUGGGUAGCAAACAGGAUUAGAUACCCGAGUAGUC